GAUGAACGCUGGCGGCGUGCCUAAUACAUGCAAGUCGAGCAAACGGACGAGAAGCUUGCUUCUCUGAUGUUAGCGGCGGACGGGUGAGUAACACGUGGAUAACCUACCUAUAAGACUGGGAUAACUUCGGGAAACCGGAGCUAAUACCGGAUGAUAUUUUGAACCGCAUGGUUCAAAAGUGAAAGACGGUCUUGCUGUCACUUAUAGAUGGAUCCGCGCUGCAUUAGCUAGUUGGUAAGGUAACGGCUUACCAAGGCAACGAUGCAUAGCCGACCUGAGAGGGUGAUCGGCCACACUGGAACUGAGACACGGUCCAGACUCCUACGGGAGGCAGCAGUAGGGAAUCUUCCGCAAUGGGCGAAAGCCUGACGGAGCAACGCCGCGUGAGUGAUGAAGGUCUUCGGAUCGUAAAACUCUGUUAUUAGGGAAGAACAUAUGUGUAAGUAACUGUGCACAUCUUGACGGUACCUAAUCAGAAAGCCACGGCUAACUACGUG
This 497-nucleotide ribosomal RNA is filed under the name uncultured bacterium. Its description in RNAcentral is "partial 16S ribosomal RNA". It matches the Rfam family "Bacterial small subunit ribosomal RNA", at positions 28 to 507 of the family's 1533-position model. The record is from RNAcentral.